ACCUUAUCAAGAGAGGCUGAGGGACAGGCCCGAUGAAGCCCGGCAACCACCCAUAAGGGAAAAGGUGCUAAUUCCUACAGGAUUUAUCCUGAAAGAUGAGGU
The sequence is a regulatory RNA element, 102 nucleotides long. It matches the Rfam family "SAM riboswitch aptamer (S box leader)". From Rfam's summary of the family: The SAM riboswitch is found upstream of a number of genes which code for proteins involved in methionine or cysteine biosynthesis in Gram-positive bacteria. The SAM riboswitch acts at the level of transcription termination control. The predicted structure consists of a complex stem-loop region followed by a single stem loop terminator region. The record is from Rfam.